Long non-coding RNA from Spinacia oleracea (spinach), 1777 nucleotides. RefSeq lists it as uncharacterized. The record is from RefSeq and is a predicted model, not a curated record. Lineage: Eukaryota; Viridiplantae; Streptophyta; Magnoliopsida; Caryophyllales; Amaranthaceae. The transcript is spliced from 4 exons.
UAAACUUGAACCCUGGAAAAUGGAGGUUUCUUCUUCAAGGUCAAGAAAGCUAAGGUUGUUCUCCGUUCCCUCCAUCUCUCUACUGGUUGUUCUCCGUUUAAGUAUUGGUGUUCCUCGAUCAAGGAACCUGCCGGAGUUGUGCAUUUUGUCGAACACAUUGUGGGCAUAGAUGUACUUUUUGUCCGAUUAUGGAGCAAGUUAGGACACCUUAGAGCUGAGCUUAGUAAAAGGGGAGUGAGUACUGAGUAGUCGGGCAAUGGCUGACGUGAUGGACAAAGCCAAAACAAUUAACAAUUUAACGCUAUCAGUGCUCGAACUGUCUGCAUGCUGCACCCUUCACAAAAUAUCCAGAAGAAACCGAGGGGCUUAGGGUUAAACUGAAGCCUUCAUAUGCAUCCUCAUUCCUCAAGAUAUGUUGAUUUCAAACCCUUAAUUUUCAAUUAGGUAGGUCAAGCCAGAUGUGCUACUUGGUUUCUGUAGUUGGUGGUCUCUUGAAUGAAGAGGUGAGUGUAUCAUGAGGUCUCUUUACAUUUUUAUGCAGGACUGAAAUGGAGUGAUGACUAAUGAGUAAAUACUACGGAGUAAUUUAUAUGGAUUAUGUAUACUAUUUCAAAGAUUAUGAAACCGCUUGUUGGGGAUCUUGAUUAUUUGAUUGGUAAAACAUCACCAAACUAAUUAGAGAGAUUAAAAGUGAGAAAUAUAUGAGUUCUAAAUUUAGAUAUGGUUAAUUUGUGACCAUUGGUUAAGAUUGCACCCAUUCUAUGAAACUUUAAGAAAUAUUAACUCUAGAUGGUUUGGAUCCCUCUUGUAUAAGAGAACAUAAAGCGAUCUUAAUGAAGCUUCUGUGAUUUAACCUUGAAAGAUUUGGUGUCAAUUUAAUUUUAACUCAUUACCUCCUACAAAGAUGUGAUUAUCAAUGAACUCACAUGUUUGUUAUUGAAGCUGUAUCAACUAGGACAUGUAUGCUGGAUGCAAAGUUCUUUACCGUUCCCUUAAACAAUUUCAUGUCGAAUGAGCUGAUACCACAACAUACUUCCGUAUACUUCAAAUGUUAGAUUAAGUGAAUUGCAGAGUCAUAAUUCUUUUUAUUAGUGAAUCCAAGUUUGGUGGAGUGCUGACUUGGGACAUGUAUUUGAAAGUAUAUUAUGCAACCCUAAAAGACGUGGACUAAUUGAGUAAUUGGAAGUAGUGAAAGAAUGUAGGUGGUUAUUGUUAUCUCUGUUGAUGGGGGUUAUUAUGUGUAGUUAUUCUUACUAUGAUUUGUAUGUUAAUACCUCAGGUUCCCGCGUCCUAUGUCUUUGGGUUGGAUAGGUAAUAUAUUCAGUUUUUUAUGUGGUCAAUUGGUUGUUAUUCUAGUGUCCUGAACUGAAAGUAGCUUUACAGAGAAGAGUAUCUGUCAUUUGAAAAUCUAAAAUAACUAUUUUUCAUUGGCAUUAUUUCGGUAUACCGAAAAUUUUCAUUGUUUCAUAUCUGUGCUAUUGGUAGUGUAAUGGCUAUUUGCACUGCUGUCUUGAGUGUCUUCACAUAAUGAGUAGCUUGGGGAUUGGGCCCUGGGUACAGGUUCUAGGUUAGAAUAAAAUUACAAUUUGUUGAGGGAGAGUAGUAUAUGGAAGCCAGAAUUAUCUCGUUGCCCCCCCUUAAUGCCAACCCAAAAUAUAAUAUUCAGUGAUUGGAAUUGGAACAUGUUUUCAGUUCUUCCAUGGUUCUUAGAGUUCUCACCAGUUUGCCAACGAUAUUCUUCCAAAUGAACAAGAAGUUGCUAAUAUUUUUUUUUCUG